CAAUACCGUUGCUGUUACUAACAGCCUCCGUCAUGCUGCUGCUGCCAUUAUUACCAUGGUCACUAUGGAUGUGGCUGCUUUCACCCCAAACUGACACCCAUAGGCAGGAAGAAAGGGAGGGAUGGAGUCAUUUCUUGCCUCUUCUUGCUUUAAUCCUUUGGGGAACCAAGGAGCAAGGUGACCUGGACAAAGCAGUUCGAGAUGGUAAGAGACAAAGCUACAACCAAUUUGUAGAUUUAAUUGGUGGCUUUUAUUAGCAACUCAUAAAUUGGGAAGCUGCCUCUGUUAUAUAAAUAGAAUAAAAGUUCCCACGGGACACUUGUGGAACAGUUGGUUUUAUAAGCUGGGAGCAAAGAAACAGAACAACAUGGGGAAAACCCCAAUAUGUUAACACCAAGUUACUUUUUGGUAAGGGUUGAAGCCGAGGGGACUUUCUAAUUAUGCUGACACAGAUAGGCUGGAAUCUCUUGUUUCCAAGAAAAACUGCUCUGUUUGGGGAUCUGUUUCUUUAAAAUUUCAUUUUAAUUAUGUGGUGUUUAUCUCGAGUGACUCCAUUUUGGUUUGGUUGGGGCCGCGUACAGGAGUUUAGUUGAAAACAAGGGCCUCCUGUCAUUUUUGUUUAAUGGUACGAUCCCAACCCUUUGCAAGAGAGCAGAGCACAUAAGAGGAGAAACUAAGAACAUAUAAACAAAUGGCCUAAAUGAUAGAGAUUGGUAAAAUUGUUCCAAGUUUUGAAGGUGAUUUUUAUAAAAAACAAACCAAUUAGAUUUACACCAAGAUUCUAGAAUGGUGGCUAAGUGAUCAAUUAUGAGCAUUUACACAGGGAGAAGAUAGCCAUGAGAAGCUUGCUGGAGGUUAUUAACCUACUCUGUUCAAUACCUCUGAAACCAGAUCAUCACAAGGGCCACAUCUUAGCGACUCAAAAAAUAACAAUGGUGGGAUAUCUUGAGUUAUGUAUGUUUGAGAAACUUGCCCCAAAUCAGAGAGAGAAGGUAAUAUUUUAGGUCACCUAUUCUUUCAACAUCCAUGCAUUUGCUACACCUCAUGGGUGGAGAAGAUUAUAGUUCAGGAAGUGUUAGGUGCAGGGCAGGCUGAACUAACGUUGUCUGCAGGGUGGUCUGAACACUUGACUCUCACCCUCACCCGUCUGGUUCCUUAUCGCUUGUUUGCCUCAAGUCUGAACACUUAACCCCUCUCAAGGCUGAACACUUGACCCCACUCAAGGCUAAACCUGUAUGGUGAAACAGAAACUCAUAUCUGACCCCCGGCCCGUCUUCCUGAAGGCAGAAGAUGACCCUCUUAGCAACUACUUUAUGAUCCAAUCACUGUACGCCAACAAGGCAGCUUGCAGGCCCAGACAGCCCAUUAGAUUUUGGUUAUAAAAACUCUCUCCUGCCAGGCCCCCGUCUCUUGCUCUCUCUCUCUCUCUCU
RNAcentral lists this long non-coding RNA (1431 nucleotides) under Marmota monax (woodchuck). The record is from RNAcentral. Lineage: Eukaryota; Metazoa; Chordata; Mammalia; Rodentia; Sciuridae.